GGCGCUAUAGUGUAGUGGUUAUCACUUGGGAUUCUGAUACUAAAUUCCCAAAACCCAGGUUCGAGCCCUGGUAGCGCCU
Irpex rosettiformis is the source of this 79-nucleotide non-coding RNA. The record is from the annotation of a GenBank genome assembly. Lineage: Eukaryota; Fungi; Basidiomycota; Agaricomycetes; Polyporales; Irpicaceae.